GGUGGCAGUGUAACCACAGGUGUAGUUCAUCACUUUAAUUAUGAACGGCACCAUACUUCUGGCUUAAUUUUGAAUAGCAUAUCUUUUUUUGCGAAUAAAACGUCUUAAAAUAAACACCAUUUGAUUUGAUAUUUUGCUAUCGAAUGCAAUGACACUAAAUAGACGGUUUACCCAAAAUGAACAUUCUCUCAUCAAUUAUGUAACGUCGUGUUGUUUCAAAUUUGGUUUCAAAGUUUUCUGUCCUACUAUCGAAAGUCCAAACAUUUGAUAGAUCAAAAUAUAGAUAGAUAGAUAUAUUUGUGAUUUGAAGAUGAAAAACUAAUGGGUUUAAUGUAACGUGAGGAUGAGUAACCGAUCACUGAAUUUUCGAUUCUUAAUAAGGACAAAUGUGCUUCUUGAAUACUUGUGAGCUCACAAAAGCUGCACGACAAUAACAAAAUAAUUACAAAUAAUGGUUUUAGACGAAGAAGCACGGCAUGUCACAUUGCAGGACACCAGAACUUGUGGCAUUAGCUCAUGACUGAACAAAAUGCCAUGGCGUCAAUUAAGCAUUUCUAUUUCUCUUUCGACAACAACCGAACCCAAACGGACAGCUUUCAAUGACCUUUCGGCGUUUUAAAACCACAGCGCCCUUUUCUUGUACUUUUCGACUCAGAAGCGGUUUAAAAAGUCAAUUCUGUUAAUGUUUGACGAACUAAAAACAGUGUGUUCCUCUCAUGCCCAGCAAUGUUUGCAGAAAGCACCAGCACCUUACACAACAGACUAUGGAGUAGCUACAUCUGACAUUUAAAGAAAAGCAUAUUUUUAUUGCAUCUUUGUCUGCAAUAUGUAGCCAUACGAUAAUAUUAACAGUAAAUUCAGCACUAGCAUUCCUGAGCUCUCUCUCUCACACACACACACACACACACACACACACACACACACACACACACACAAUACUCAAGGGUGGGGUCACAUACACACUGCAGUGUUUAAACAAGACUCACGGUCAGCUGGAUUGCCACCUCCUCCUUUUCCCUUCAGCCCGGCGGCUCAGGUUUGUCUUUACCUUAUUUCGGAAACACGGAAGAACAGAAGUCCCAGCAGAAACAGCGUGCAGCUGUGAAAACUGAUUCCCAGCAAACAACUCGCCCCUAGGCCCCUGCCGGAAUAUUCGAGGAGAAUCGGACCGGUUAUGUUUCACCAGUUUUAGCAGACUGAAACUGGAACCGAGGCUCUUGAUUAUUCAUUUGUGACGUGCUUCUCCAGCCUGACGCCAUGAACAUCUCUCUCGAGAACCCCUACGGCGACGUCGCCAUUCCUCGUGCCAAACUGCGGGAUCAGGCCGACUCCAGCACCAUCAUCAUGAACCCGAUGGCCUUGGAGAGCGCCUACAACAACCGCAACUCUGCCUUAAACCCCUACAACAGCUUCAAAACCCCGGGCGAGAGCAACACCUCAAGCGUGCCAGUUUACGGAGAGGCCAGGAACGGCGGCCAGAACCCCCCUCCGGCUUACGCGGUGAGGGAGAGCGACGAGCAGGUGGGGCGCUGCUACGCCUGUUGCUGCCGCUGCCGGAGGAGGAAGUGACACCAGAUUCUUCCCGUGAAGCCAAGGAUUAUGGGUUUACAAUUUGGAACCACGAUUCCACCUCCCAAAGUUUGGAAGCCAAAUGCUCUGCGUUUCUAAAAUGACUGGAUUUUUUUUUUUUUUUUUUUUUUUUAGUUUUUGCACCGUACAUGUUUGGACAAAACAAGAGCUGACCUUCCGUGACCGCACCGAAACCUUUUACAUUAAAUAUUUACAUUCGGAUUACAUCAUUGUUUUGUUAAGUUGGCACAUUUAAGUUCAGCUGAAAUUGCACCUACUGAACCACAUUAAAGCGGCCUUGUUUUUGUGUGCCUCGAACAAUGGCAUUCCCAGAUACUCGUUUUGGCGUCACCCAAUUGUUCCCAUACUCUUGCUUUACAAUAAGUUAUUUGAUUUAAUGUUGUUUCUAUAAAUGUACGAUGAGGUUAAACGGGUUUUACUGGCGCACACAGAGGUGGUCUCUCUUUAUGAUACGUCCCGGUGGACCUCUCCGGGUUUCUUUAGAUUUUUGAGCCACACCCUGACAUGCCGUCUGACACAGGUGACUGAAACUUGAGGAAAAACCCUUGUUCUUUUUCAAAGGGAUGCACCAAAAGACACUCUCAACUUUUACUGCGGAACGAGUGUGCCAUCUGAGUUUCUAUUGAACGAGCUUUUCUGGUUACUUCAGACAUACUGCUGACACAUUGUGUCUAGGAUUGCCAAAGAGACUACUUAGUGCAACAUAAAACCCUUAUAGUACUAAUAUUAUACAAUUAUAAGCAAUACUGUGGUAGUUACAUUUAAUACAAUGGGUCAUGGACAGUUUUUUUUUGUUUUUUUUGGCCAUAAGACUGUGAGCCUGACUAUUGUAAAUAGUCCAACCAAAAUGUUUUGGAUGUCUGUAUGUGUUAGGCACGUUGAUCAGUAUAUUUUUUUUUGAUAUAAAAUCACCUUUGUCUCUGUAAA
Molecule: long non-coding RNA, 2517 nt
Organism: Puntigrus tetrazona (Sumatra barb)
Lineage: Eukaryota; Metazoa; Chordata; Actinopteri; Cypriniformes; Cyprinidae
Exons: 2
Source: RefSeq, a predicted model, not a curated record